This 253-nucleotide ribosomal RNA is filed under the name uncultured bacterium. Its description in RNAcentral is "partial 16S ribosomal RNA". It matches the Rfam family "Bacterial small subunit ribosomal RNA", at positions 524 to 776 of the family's 1533-position model. The record is from RNAcentral.
UACAGAGGUCUCAAGCGUUGUUCGGAUUCAUUGGGCGUAAAGGGCGCGUAGGCUGCGGGGCAAGUCGGGUGUGAAAUCUCAGAGCUCAACUCUGAAACUGCACUCGAUACUGCUUUGCUUGAGGACUGGAGAGGAGAUUGGAAUUCACGGUGUAGCAGUGAAAUGCGUAGAUAUCGGAAGGAACACCAGUGGCGAAAGCGGCUUCCUGGUCCAGCACCGACGUUCAGGCACGAAAGCGUGGGGAGCAAACAGG